RNAcentral lists this ribosomal RNA (804 nucleotides) under uncultured bacterium. RNAcentral describes it as "bacterial SSU rRNA". It matches the Rfam family "Bacterial small subunit ribosomal RNA", at positions 8 to 807 of the family's 1533-position model. The record is from RNAcentral.
AGAGUUUGAUUCUGGCUCAGGAUGAACGCUGGCGGCGUGCUUAACACAUGCAAGUCGAACGAAGCGCCUUGCCGGAACCCCUUCGGGGAGGAAGGCAUUGCGACUGAGUGGCGGACGGGUGAGUAACGCGUGGGCAACCUGCCCCAUACAGGGGGAUAACAGUUAGAAAUGACUGCUAACACCGCAUAAGCGCACAGGGCCGCAUGGCCCGGUGUGAAAAACUCCGGUGGUAUGGGAUGGGCCCGCGUCUGAUUAGCCAGUUGGCGGGGUAACGGCCCACCAAAGCGACGAUCAGUAGCCGACCUGAGAGAGUGACCGGCCACAUUGGGACUGAGACACGGCCCAAACUCCUACGGGAGGCAGCAGUGGGGAAUAUUGCACAAUGGGGGAAACCCUGAUGCAGCGACGCCGCGUGAGCGAAGAAGUAUCUCGGUAUGUAAAGCUCUAUCAGCAGGGAAGAAAAAUGACGGUACCUGACUAAGAAGCCCCGGCUAACUACGUGCCAGCAGCCGCGGUAAUACGUAGGGGGCAAGCGUUAUCCGGAUUUACUGGGUGUAAAGGGAGCGCAGGCGGCGCGGCAAGUCUGAUGUGAAAGCCCGGGGCUCAACCCCGGGACUGCAUUGGAAACUGUCGCGCUCGAGUGUCGGAGAGGUAAGUGGAAUUCCUAGUGUAGCGGUGAAAUGCGUAGAUAUUAGGAGGAACACCAGUGGCGAAGGCGGCUUACUGGACGACAACUGACGCUGAGGCUCGAAAGCGUGGGGAGCAACACAAAAAUUAGAUACCCUGGUAGUCCACGCCGUAAAC